Molecule: ribosomal RNA, 1176 nt
Filed under: Bacillus pumilus
Lineage: Bacteria; Bacillati; Bacillota; Bacilli; Caryophanales; Bacillaceae
Description: bacterial SSU rRNA
Rfam family: Bacterial small subunit ribosomal RNA
Source: RNAcentral
AAGGUGGGGCAGAUACCGGAUAGUUCCUUGAACCGCAUGGUUCAAGGAUGAAAGACGGUUUCGGCUGUCACUUACAGAUGGACCCGCGGCGCAUUAGCUAGUUGGUGGGGUAAUGGCUCACCAAGGCGACGAUGCGUAGCCGACCUGAGAGGGUGAUCGGCCACACUGGGACUGAGACACGGCCCAGACUCCUACGGGAGGCAGCAGUAGGGAAUCUUCCGCAAUGGACGAAAGUCUGACGGAGCAACGCCGCGUGAGUGAUGAAGGUUUUCGGAUCGUAAAGCUCUGUUGUUAGGGAAGAACAAGUGCGAGAGUAACUGCUCGCACCUUGACGGUACCUAACCAGAAAGCCACGGCUAACUACGUGCCAGCAGCCGCGGUAAUACGUAGGUGGCAAGCGUUGUCCGGAAUUAUUGGGCGUAAAGGGCUCGCAGGCGGUUUCUUAAGUCUGAUGUGAAAGCCCCCGGCUCAACCGGGGAGGGUCAUUGGAAACUGGGAAACUUGAGUGCAGAAGAGGAGAGUGGAAUUCCACGUGUAGCGGUGAAAUGCGUAGAGAUGUGGAGGAACACCAGUGGCGAAGGCGACUCUCUGGUCUGUAACUGACGCUGAGGAGCGAAAGCGUGGGGAGCGAACAGGAUUAGAUACCCUGGUAGUCCACGCCGUAAACGAUGAGUGCUAAGUGUUAGGGGGUUUCCGCAUUAAGCACUCCGCCUGGGGAGUACGGUCGCAAGACUGAAACUCAAAGGAAUUGACGGGGGCCCGCACAAGCGGUGGAGCAUGUGGUUUAAUUCGAAGCAACGCGAAGAACCUUACCAGGUCUUGACAUCCUCUGACAACCCUAGAGAUAGGGCUUUCCCUUCGGGGACAGAGUGACAGGUGGUGCAUGGUUGUCGUCAGCUCGUGUCGUGAGAUGUUGGGUUAAGUCCCGCAACGAGCGCAACCCUUGAUCUUAGUUGCCAGCAUUCAGUUGGGCACUCUAAGGUGACUGCCGGUGACAAACCGGAGGAAGGUGGGGAUGACGUCAAAUCAUCAUGCCCCUUAUGACCUGGGCUACACACGUGCUACAAUGGACAGAACAAAGGGCUGCAAGACCGCAAGGUUUAGCCAAUCCCAUAAAUCUGUUCUCAGUUCGGAUCGCAGUCUGCAACUCGACUGCGUGAAGCUGGAAUCGCUAGU